AACGAACGCUGGCGGCGCGCUUAACACAUGCAAGUCGAACGGGCGUGAUGGCUUCGGCCAUGACGUCAGUGGCGGACGGGUGAGUAGCGCGUGGGAACCUGCCCCAAGGUCUGGGACAACCGCGGGAAACUGCGGCUAAUACCGGAUGACGCCGCCCGCGAGGGUGGCCAAAGACUCAUCGUGAGAUGGGGACGCCAUGGGAUGGGCCCGCGUCCGAUUAGCUAGUUGGUGGGGAAUGGCCACCAAGGCUGCGAUCGGUAGCUGGUCUGAGAGGACGAUCAGCCACACUGGGACUGAGACACGGCCCAGACUCCUACGGGAGGCAGCAGUGGGGAAUCUUGGACAAUGGGCGCAAGCCUGAUCCAGCGACGCCGCGUGGGUGACGAAGGCC
Molecule: ribosomal RNA, 391 nt
Filed under: uncultured bacterium
Lineage: Bacteria
Description: bacterial SSU rRNA
Rfam family: Bacterial small subunit ribosomal RNA
Source: RNAcentral